AGGGUUUCAAUGUCCAUGGUAAAGGGUACGAUAUCAGGGGCAGUGUCGGGGAGAACAGUUAAUGUGACAUGGUGUCCAGUGUGAAGGAGGAUGUCAGCAGACUUCAAAUCACUAACGUGACAUUGGAUCUCCAAGGACUGGACCUGUGCUGCUGGAAGUGUCUGUUGGGGUUAGACUGUCUCUU
Amblyraja radiata (thorny skate) is the source of this 184-nucleotide long non-coding RNA. RefSeq lists it as uncharacterized. The record is from RefSeq and is a predicted model, not a curated record. NCBI's taxonomy places the organism in Eukaryota, Metazoa, Chordata, Chondrichthyes, Rajiformes, Rajidae. The transcript has 3 exons.